This 465-nucleotide ribosomal RNA is filed under the name Vreelandella stevensii. RNAcentral describes it as "partial 16S ribosomal RNA". It matches the Rfam family "Bacterial small subunit ribosomal RNA", at positions 338 to 795 of the family's 1533-position model. Lineage: Bacteria; Pseudomonadati; Pseudomonadota; Gammaproteobacteria; Oceanospirillales; Halomonadaceae. The record is from RNAcentral.
CCUAGGGUGGCAGCAGUGGGGAAUAUUGGACAAUGGGCGAAAGCCUGAUCCAGCCAUGCCGCGUGUGUGAAGAAGGCCUUCGGGUUGUAAAGCACUUUCAGUGGGGAAGAAAGCCUUGGGGCUAAUACCCUCGAGGAAGGACAUCACCCACAGAAGAAGCACCGGCUAACUCCGUGCCAGCAGCCGCGGUAAUACAGGAGGGUGCGAGCGUUAAUCGGAAUUACUGGGCGUAAAGCGCGCGUAGGCGGUCUGAUAAGCCGGUUGUGAAAGCCCCGGGCUCAACCUGGGAACGGCAUCCGGAACUGUCAGGCUAGAGUGCAGGAGAGGAAGGUAGAAUUCCCGGUGUAGCGGUGAAAUUCGUAGAGAUCGGGAGGAAUACCAGUGGCGAAGGCGGCCUUCUGGACUGACACUGACGCUGAGGUGCGAAAGCGUGGGUAGCAAACAGGAUUAGAUACCCGAGUAGUC